RNAcentral lists this ribosomal RNA (915 nucleotides) under uncultured bacterium. RNAcentral describes it as "bacterial SSU rRNA". It matches the Rfam family "Bacterial small subunit ribosomal RNA", at positions 8 to 915 of the family's 1533-position model. The record is from RNAcentral.
AGAGUUUGAUCCUGGCUCAGGACGAACGCUGGCGGCGUGCCUAAUACAUGCAAGUAGAACGCUGAAAUAAGAGCUUGCUCUUAUGGAUGAGUUGCGAACGGGUGAGUAACACGUGGGGAACCUACCUUCUAGCGGGGGAUAACACAUAGAAAUGUGUGCUAAUACCGCAUAAUAGUAUUUGAUGCAUAUCAGAUACUUGAAAGGCGCAAUUGCGUCACUAGAAGAUGGCCCCGCGGUGCAUUAGCUAGUUGGUGAGGUAACGGCUCACCAAGGCAAUGAUGCAUAGCCGACCUGAGAGGGUGAUCGGCCACACUGGGACUGAGACACGGCCCAGACUCCUACGGGAGGCAGCAGUAGGGAAUCUUCGGCAAUGGACGCAAGUCUGACCGAGCAACGCCGCGUGAGUGAAGAAGGUUUUCGGAUCGUAAAACUCUGUUGUAAGAGAAGAACGUUGAUGAGAGUGGAAAGUUCAUCAAGUGACGGUAUCUUACCAGAAAGCCACGGCUAACUACGUGCCAGCAGCCGCGGUAAUACGUAGGUGGCAAGCGUUGUCCGGAUUUAUUGGGCGUAAAGCGAGCGCAGGCGGUUGAUUAAGUCUGAUGUGAAAGCCCCCGGCUCAACCGGGGAGGGUCAUUGGAAACUGGUCAACUUGAGUGCAGAAGAGGAGAGUGGAAUUCCAUGUGUAGCGGUGAAAUGCGUAGAUAUAUGGAGGAACACCAGUGGCGAAGGCGGCUCUCUGGUCUGUAACUGACGCUGAGGCUCGAAAGCGUGGGGAGCGAACAGGAUUAGAUACCCUGGUAGUCCACGCCGUAAACGAUGAGUGCUAAGUGUUGGAGGGAUUCCGCCCUUCAGUGCUGCAGCUAACGCAUUAAGCACUCCGCCUGGGAGUACGACGCAGUGAAACUCAAGAUGACG